GACGAACGCUGGCGGCGUGCUUAACACACGCAAGUCGAACGGAAAGGCCCUGCUUUUGUGGGGUGCUCGAGUGGCGAACGGGUGAGUAACACGUGAGUAACCUGCCCUUGACUUUGGGAUAACUUCAGGAAACUGGGGCUAAUACCGGAUAGGAGCUCCUGCUGCAUGGUGGGGGUUGGAAAGUUUCGGCGGUUGGGGAUGGACUCGCGGCUUAUCAGCUUGUUGGUGGGGUAGUGGCUUACCAAGGCUUUGACGGGUAGCCGGCCUGAGAGGGUGACCGGCCACAUUGGGACUGAGAUACGGCCCAGACUCCUACGGGAGGCAGCAGUGGGGAAUAUUGCACAAUGGGCGGAAGCCUGAUGCAGCAACGCCGCGUGCGGGAUGACGGCCUUCGGGUUGUAAACCGCUUUCGCCUGUGACGAAGCGUGAGUGACGGUAAUGGGUAAAGAAGCACCGGCUAACGACGUG
RNAcentral lists this ribosomal RNA (468 nucleotides) under uncultured bacterium. Its description in RNAcentral is "partial 16S ribosomal RNA". It matches the Rfam family "Bacterial small subunit ribosomal RNA", at positions 28 to 507 of the family's 1533-position model. The record is from RNAcentral.